This 264-nucleotide long non-coding RNA is filed under the name Musa acuminata (dwarf banana). Its description in RNAcentral is "long non-coding RNA (MACU_LNC001379)". Lineage: Eukaryota; Viridiplantae; Streptophyta; Magnoliopsida; Zingiberales; Musaceae. The record is from RNAcentral.
UGCCGCCGCCAAUUUAAACGCUCGUUUGUUGCGAUCGGACCCGAUCUCAUCGUCCACCUUCCUUCAUAGCAGAGGAGGAGGGAAGAGAUGCUGAAGACCAGAGGAGCCUCCGACGCUUUCCUUCCGAUCCCGGGUUCUCCCAGCUCUAGCGAACACGCGACGCCUCUUAUCGUCUCUCCUCUCGUCUUCGUUCUCCCACUCCUCUUUCUGCCGAUUCGGAGCGCAACGAGAGCUCCGACGCUGGAGGGUCAGAUCGGCGGAUCA